Molecule: long non-coding RNA, 251 nt
Filed under: Elaeis guineensis (African oil palm)
Lineage: Eukaryota; Viridiplantae; Streptophyta; Magnoliopsida; Arecales; Arecaceae
Description: long non-coding RNA (EGUI_LNC049961)
Source: RNAcentral
ACCAUCAUAGUGACUUGUAAGCAACUCACUGUGCUUUAGUACCAGACUAUCUGAGUUUCUAACUCAGUGACAGAAGGAUACUAGAUGCAGUCAACUACUUAUCAAGUCGGUCUGUGAGUCAAGAUGGAAUUGACCCCUCUAAAUUGGUAGGAAAUAUACAUCAGUGUAUUUCAAUUUAGCAAAACUUUUGUCAGGAUAAUCUAUGAGAUAGAUUUAAAAGAUUGAAAUAUAAUGUGGUCGACUUAAUUAGG